Molecule: ribosomal RNA, 492 nt
Filed under: uncultured bacterium
Lineage: Bacteria
Description: partial 16S ribosomal RNA
Rfam family: Bacterial small subunit ribosomal RNA
Source: RNAcentral
AGUGAACGCUGGCGGUAGGCCUAACACAUGCAAGUCGAACGGCAGCACAGUAAGAGCUUGCUCUUACGGGUGGCGAGUGGCGGACGGGUGAGGAUUACAUCGGAAUCUACUUUUUCGUGGGGGAUAACGUAGGGAAACUUACGCUAAUACCGCAUACGACCUACGGGUGAAAGCAGGGGAUCUUCGGACCUUGCGCGAUUGAAUGAGCCGAUGUCGGAUUAGCUAGUUGGCGGGGUAAAGGCCCACCAAGGCGACGAUCCGUAGCUGGUCUGAGAGGAUGAUCAGCCACACUGGAACUGAGACACGGUCCAGACUCCUACGGGAGGCAGCAGUGGGGAAUAUUUGACAAUGGGCGCAAGCCUGAUCCAGCCAUACCGCGUGGGUGAAGAAGGCCUUCGGGUUGUAAAGCCCUUUUGUUGGGAAAGAAAAGCAGCAGGUUAAUACCCCGCUGUUCUGACGGUACCCAAAGAAUAAGCACCGGCUAACUUCGUG